CUUUAGUCUACAGAGCAGUGAGCUUGGGUAGCUGCCACUGAGGGUUUCUCCCAAAGAGCCAUUUUCCCAGAGGAAGCUGAGCCUGGGAAAGAAGCAAGGGCAGAAAAAUACAGCGAGUGCAGUCCGUGGAGGAGGUACAGAAAGAAUAUAGGGCAGCUGGAGGAGAAUGGCAAGCCAUACUGCUUUGGAAGAAACCAGGAACCAGGUGAUGUCAUUGCUUUUAAACUAUGCGGUGUUUCUCAGUGCUGGAAGGAUUGUGUAAAAUGUACCUCUAUCCAGAAGCUGUCUCUGGAAAGUGCAGCUCAGUAUGACUGGAGCAAGGCCCAGGACUCUGUAUUUUUAAGCAUUUCACGCAAACUUCAAAUGCAUAUUUCUGGCUGGGAAUUACUGGAAUGCUAUCGAAGCACUUGGCUAAUGCUACUGAUGGCUUCUUGGUGGCUGUAUAAGUGGCAGAAGUGCUUAGCAAAAUGAUCUUUUUGCACCUUGUAAGAUUCUACAGAGAAAUACUUCCAAUGCUGAAAAUAAAAGUAACUUUUGGCUGUAAAAAUGGCUCAAUCCCAUCCC
Long non-coding RNA from Canis lupus familiaris (dog), 564 nucleotides. RefSeq lists it as uncharacterized. Lineage: Eukaryota; Metazoa; Chordata; Mammalia; Carnivora; Canidae. The transcript is spliced from 3 exons. The record is from RefSeq and is a predicted model, not a curated record.